This 370-nucleotide ribosomal RNA is filed under the name Staphylococcus aureus. RNAcentral's name for it is "partial 23S ribosomal RNA". It matches the Rfam family "Bacterial large subunit ribosomal RNA", at positions 1462 to 1829 of the family's 2925-position model. The record is from RNAcentral. Lineage: Bacteria; Bacillati; Bacillota; Bacilli; Caryophanales; Staphylococcaceae.
CGAUGGGGGGACGCAGUAGGAUAGGCGAAGCGUGCGAUUGGAUUGCACGUCUAAGCAGUAAGGCUGAGUAUUAGGCAAAUCCGGUACUCGUUAAGGCUGAGCUGUGAUGGGGAGAAGACAUUGUGUCUUCGAGUCGUUGAUUUCACACUGCCGAGAAAAGCCUCUAGAUAGAAAAUAGGUGCCCGUACCGCAAACCGACACAGGUAGUCAAGAUGAGAAUUCUAAGGUGAGCGAGCGAACUCUCGUUAAGGAACUCGGCAAAAUGACCCCGUAACUUCGGGAGAAGGGGUGCUCUUUAGGGUUAACGCCCAGAAGAGCCGCAGUGAAUAGGCCCAAGCGACUGUUUAUCAAAAACACAGGUCUCUGCUAA